Molecule: small nuclear RNA, 105 nt
Organism: Suricata suricatta (meerkat)
Lineage: Eukaryota; Metazoa; Chordata; Mammalia; Carnivora; Herpestidae
Source: Ensembl
GCUCAUUUUGGCUGCGCAUAUACUAAAACUGGAGCAAUACAGGGAAGAUUAGCAUGGCCCCUAUGCAAGGAUGACAUGCAAAUUUGUCAUGCAUUCCAUAUUAAA